Molecule: small nucleolar RNA, 207 nt
Organism: Balaenoptera musculus (blue whale)
Lineage: Eukaryota; Metazoa; Chordata; Mammalia; Artiodactyla; Balaenopteridae
Gene: U3
Rfam family: Small nucleolar RNA U3
About the family: Small nucleolar RNAs (snoRNAs) are involved in the processing and modification of rRNA in the nucleolus. There are two main classes of snoRNAs: the box C/D class, and the box H/ACA class.
Source: Ensembl
AAGACUAUAUUUUCAAGGAUAAUUUUUAUAAUUCAUUCCUAACCAUAUACUGUACUGUUUAGCAUGAGGAAGAGGUGAAACACUCCCUAAAUGUUAAGCUGGCUUUUGGUGUUGCUUUACUGCAGCUGUUACUAUUGGUAGUCAUUCUCCUUACUUUCCUUCCCCUAAUCUAGAGAAUGUAGAAGGAAAGAUUGCAGUCCAAGUGAU